AGUGAACGCUGGCGGUAGGCCUAACACAUGCAAGCCGAACGGCAGCACAGUAAGAGCUUGCUCUUACGGGUGGCGAGUGGCGGACGGGUGAGGAAUACAUCGGAAUCUACUUUUUCGUGGGGGAUAACGUAGGGAAACUUACGCUAAUACCGCAUACGACCUACGGGUGAAAGCAGGGGAUCUUCGGACCUUGCGCGAUUGAAUGAGCCGAUGUCGGAUUAGCUAGUUGGCGGGGUAAAGGCCCGCCAAGGCGACGAUCCGUAGCUGGUCUGAGAGGAUGAUCAGCCACACUGGAACUGAGACACGGUCCAGACUCCUACGGGAGGCAGCAGUGGGGAAUAUUGGACAAUGGGCGCAAGCCUGAUCCAGCCAUACCGCGUGGGUGAAGAAGGCCUUCGGGUUGUAAAGCCCUUUUGUUGGGAAAGAAAAGCAGCAGGUUAAUACCCCGCUGUUCUGACGGUACCCAAAGAAUAAGCACCGGCUAACUUCGUG
RNAcentral lists this ribosomal RNA (492 nucleotides) under uncultured bacterium. Its description in RNAcentral is "partial 16S ribosomal RNA". It matches the Rfam family "Bacterial small subunit ribosomal RNA", at positions 29 to 507 of the family's 1533-position model. The record is from RNAcentral.